UAGAACAAAAGUGAAAAAAAAAGGUUACCAUGUAAGACCAAAGCAGUUAACAUGAAUUCAAGAAUCUAUCUGGUUAUUAAAGCAUCCUGAUUGGCUUGAUGAGCUCGGAAGAAACGCAUGGGACAGCCGAUUUAAAAACUGGCCGCCUCCACUCCCUCGGUCGACACGACUACAACCCAUGAAAACGGAUUUUGGUUGCUUGUUUGAAGUGUCCAAAAUCAAGUCUCCGCUUCCUCUUCCCGGCCAAAUCGGGCCUACCUCUCCAAGACGUUCAGCCCGCCCAGGGCCCAGCACCUCCACCACGCAUCUGUCUAGGCCAAGCCCACUGGGAACUUCCAGGGUCCCACAACCUUCCCUUUGUGCAUCCCGCCCUCCGUUUCUCUCCCUGGGAACGUAUCCCACCAUCUCGAGUUCUUUCUUCGUCCACUCUCAUCUUCUUCUCCUUUUGGAGAAAGCUUCCUGUCUCUCUGACUCCGUUUUUCAUUGUGCCGCUUUCCCCUGCCCCACCGAUCCCUUACCGAGGGCCGUCUCCUCAGGAAGCCGUCAGCAGAGACCCAAGAGCUGGAGGACAGGCUUG
Talpa occidentalis (Iberian mole) is the source of this 577-nucleotide long non-coding RNA. RefSeq lists it as uncharacterized. The record is from RefSeq and is a predicted model, not a curated record. The transcript is spliced from 3 exons. Lineage: Eukaryota; Metazoa; Chordata; Mammalia; Eulipotyphla; Talpidae.